GAAGGAAGUUCGUAGCAGAGAAAAAUACAUUGUAAAAGAAAUUGAUCCUAUUAAAUUACUGAAGAUUCUCGAGGGAGCUGAUGUCCUAUCUCAAAUAGACUGUGAAUCUAUUACGGCGGCAUUUAACAAUUACGGAGCGACUCAUGCGACACAAUCUGAACUUCUCUAUCGCUUGAAGAAACGUGGUCCCAACGCAUUCUCGAAGUUCGUCGCAGCUCUACGCGAAGCAGGACUAGGUCAUGCUGCUCAACUUCUAGAUCCAAAGCUUCAAGGUAAAUAAUUCAAAAUGUUUCAAUGAGAAUGUUACAUUUCAAAAUACAUCUAGAACAUUAAGGACUGGAAUCUUUUGAACUGAUGAUUGAUGAAGCUUUCCAGUGUCAAUAUAGACCGAAGUGAAAUCGGAUUGUGAAAUCGAAUUAAAUUUUUAAUGGCCAAGUUUUUACUUUUAAUAGUACAAUCUGAGGUUUCUCUUCUGUACAAAUUAAACAGUUGCAAUGUUUCGUGAGAGGAAAGUUGGAUCAAUGUAGACCGAAGUGAAAUCGAAUUGUGAAAUCGAAUUAAAUUUUUAAUGGCUAAAUGGCCAUAGUUAAAUGCAUUGAUGUUGGCCCAGGAAUGUAGAAAUUAAAUGGCUUCAAAUCCAAGUUUUUACUUUAGUACAACUAAGGUUUCUCUUCUGUACAAUUGUACAAAUUAAGAGUUUCAAUGUUUCCUCAGAGGAAAGCUUUACUUUGGAUAAAAUCUACGGGUAAACACCAGGUAAAUUCCUGUAACAGGUGUGACAGCCAUUUAAAUUGCUAAACAAGGCAUUUAAUUUCUGCAUAAUAUUACAUGUGAUUAAUACGGUCAUGCGAUAAGGGGCCGGUCACGCUAGACGCCAUCUUGAAUCACGAAUUGAACCCAAAUGUUUACAUUUACAAUGACAGCAUUGCAAAAACCAAUCCGAUACAAUGUAACUCAUAUGAUGCAUGAUUUAGGGUGUAUUAUCAAGUAUAUACUCGGGUAACAGUGUUACGAGUGUUACACUAUCUUUAUUUAGGGGUGGGGUUAGGGUUAGUGUGUGUAACACUAUGUAACACGGUGGGGUUAGGGUUAGUGUGUGUAAAACUAUGUAACACUGUCAACACUCAGUAGCACUGUGUAACACUAUGUAACAAUGUGUAACACUAUGUAAGAAUAUGUAACAUUGUUUAACACUGUGUAACACUUGUAACAGUGUUACAACUGGUGCCAUAAUAAAGCCACCCUAAAUCGUGCAUGGUAUAAUGUAACUCAUAGCAUUAUAUAGAUUUUGUGCUUUUAGUUUUUUACUACAUGUAUAGUGUUAUAAAACAGUCCUUUAUGCCAUUGAAACACUACAGUCUAGGGACCGUUGAGUGAGAGCCUGUUUAAAAGUGUGGGGGGG
This is a non-coding RNA of Paramuricea clavata, 1402 nucleotides long. NCBI's taxonomy places the organism in Eukaryota, Metazoa, Cnidaria, Anthozoa, Malacalcyonacea, Plexauridae. The record is from the annotation of a GenBank genome assembly.